RNAcentral lists this unclassified non-coding RNA (333 nucleotides) under Hevea brasiliensis (rubber tree). The record is from RNAcentral. Lineage: Eukaryota; Viridiplantae; Streptophyta; Magnoliopsida; Malpighiales; Euphorbiaceae.
GUCUUCACGCUCAUGUCCGGUUGCGAUUGGCAUUACAUCUUCAACCUUCUUCUUCAGACCGGUAUCAGCAGAAUCAGAGGCGUAAUGGCGAGCGAAAAGCGAGACAGCCGGGGAAGGAGAAACAUGAGAAGCAGCACCGAAUCGAGUGGCUUUGGAGAUGCAUCCCAACGGAGCGGAUGCAGGCGUCGAUGAUGAGGGAAGAGAUUUCAAGGAUUUGAGCGGCGAAAAGAGCAAUCUUCUCCACAUCGUAGAUUGAAAUCGGUGAAUUCUCCGGCUAUGAUCUCAGGUCGCACCCCCUUGGACGGCGAAUUUGGCUCUCUUUUUCUUCACUCU